UGUCAGUCCUCAGAAAAGCUUGCCAUGGAAAAAAUGCCUGGUCAUCAGCCUGACCAGAUGAACUGGGUCCUGGCCCAUGGAUAACACGAGACAUAGCAUUCAAGGGCAGGCUGUCUG
Molecule: long non-coding RNA, 117 nt
Filed under: Lepidothrix coronata (blue-crowned manakin)
Lineage: Eukaryota; Metazoa; Chordata; Aves; Passeriformes; Pipridae
Description: lncRNA (ENSLCOG00000004470.1)
Source: RNAcentral